Molecule: ribosomal RNA, 450 nt
Filed under: uncultured bacterium
Lineage: Bacteria
Description: partial 16S ribosomal RNA
Rfam family: Bacterial small subunit ribosomal RNA
Source: RNAcentral
GUGGGGAAUUUUGGACAAUGGGCGCAAGCCUGAUCCAGCCAUUCCGCGUGCAGGAUGAAGGCCUUCGGGUUGUAAACUGCUUUUGUACGGAACGAAAAGCCUCUGGUUAAUACCCGGGGGUCAUGACGGUACCGUAAGAAUAAGCACCGGCUAACUUCGUGCCAGCAGCCGCGGUAAUACGAAGGGUGCAAGCGUUAAUCGGAAUUACUGGGCGUAAAGCGUGCGCAGGCGGUGCUGUAAGACAGGCGUGAAAUCCCCGGGCUUAACCUGGGAAUUGCGCUUGUGACUGCAGGGCUGGAGUGCGGCAGAGGGGGAUGGAAUUCCGCGUGUAGCAGUGAAAUGCGUAGAUAUGCGGAGGAACACCGAUGGCGAAGGCAAUCCCCUGGGCCUGCACUGACGCUCAUGCACGAAAGCGUGGGGAGCAAACAGGAUUAGAUACCCGUGUAGUCC